Heterocephalus glaber (naked mole-rat) is the source of this 1481-nucleotide long non-coding RNA. The record is from Ensembl. NCBI's taxonomy places the organism in Eukaryota, Metazoa, Chordata, Mammalia, Rodentia, Bathyergidae.
UUCAAGAAAAUGUCCUUAUAAAGUUGGUUCAAUAAUAUGUUCUUUAAUUUCACCUCUGUUGGAACACUACAGAUAAUGUUCUGUUUUUGCUUAAAAUAAUCAUUAACCAUUUCAGACAAUUCUAUAACAACUGAUCAAAAAGCCACAUCAAAUUUGAAGAUUUAAUAGUCUGGAAAGGCAUCCUGUCAGCACUUGCACAUUAGAAUGUAACACGAGCUUUCUGAUUUAUAUGUAUUAGUGACAUACAAGAAAAGAACAGUAUAAUUGUUUCAGCCUUCCUACUUUCCCUUUCAACGUGUGUUAAAAUUUUAUGUAGUCUUAAAAUCCACAUUUAGAAUCUUACCUGUUUCUAUAAUUAGUAAAAUGCCAAGGUAGUGAUAAAAUAUUAUUUGGCAUUGAAGUAGCAGGAAGAAUAUUAGUGUUAGCAUCAAAAAAGAUCAAUGUGGAAAUGCAUUUUUGUAUGUGUCAGGUUUAAGAGAUUGUGCCAGUGACAACAGUCUAAAAAAGAUAGUUGUAACAGUUACAGUUUAAAUUCUGAAAGACAGUCUUUAAAGAAAUAGGAAAAAUUAGGAUAUGUAUAAACCUAGACCAACCUCUUGUAAAUAAACGUGAUAUAAACAAAAAUCUGUCUUAAACUGGCGCUAUUUACAGUUCAGAAAAGAAUCUUUUUCUUUAAAAUGCUCCUGAUUUUUUUUUCUAUUUUAAGAGGUACUUGGAUUUGUAUGUAUUUUUCUAUGUCAAAACAUAUGUACGCUUCACUCUUAUUCCAGUGUUCAUAAUUGUUGAUAUGCUGUUUCUGUCCAUUGAGAACAUGCAGUAAAAUAGCAUUUGGUCUAAAAUUUCCUCGAAGGGAAAGUAUUACAUGAGGAUAAAAAGUGGAUUUUCAUUUUUAGACCAGAAAGUGUUACCGUAGUAUCAAGGGACAGAAAAGAAGACAUUUGGCUUGUGGGCAAUAAUGUUUAUUAUCCUACUUGAAAUAAUGAUUGGGGACCAGCAUCAAAUAUCUCAGGAUAAAUGGUCUAUCCUGCUUUUCUACGAACAUGUCUUAGGAGGCUUAAUUUCCAUUUUCAUAUAUCAUCUCACAAGCAAUCUUUAAAUGAAAAUUAAUGGAUUAGUACCCUGAAAGAAAUCAUGACUUGUGUUUCUGUUUUGCCUGUCUUCAGCUUUUGAUGAGAAAAAUUUAAAAUGUAGUUCAGGUAAGACCCAAGUACUACAUUACUAUAACAGAAUGAUUCUGUUUUUGUUCAAACAUUGGAAAAUAUUUAAGCACUAGUAUUCCCUGGAGGAAAAACUGCAAGUUGGCAACUUAAAGAAAUUAACUUUUUGUCUACUUUGGAUAAUUAGUUGACUUCUUCAGUAAAAGCAAUAGUGUGUAAUGUGAUGUCAUUUUGUUUGUGAUGUUAAGUGACCAAAUAAAAAACAUGUUAAAAUUGUAAGCCUUUCUGCUAAUGCUUUUGCUGUCUUCCUGUCCUUCCCAUCCC